GUGUUACUUUGGUAGCACAUAUACUAAAAUUGGAACGAUACAGAGAAGAUUAGCAUGGCCUCUGCGCAAGGAUGACACGCAAAAUCAUGAAGCGACUACAACCUAAAUUUAU
Molecule: non-coding RNA, 112 nt
Organism: Tetraodon nigroviridis (spotted green pufferfish)
Lineage: Eukaryota; Metazoa; Chordata; Actinopteri; Tetraodontiformes; Tetraodontidae
Source: Rfam